CUUAAACCCCAUAUAUAAAGGGAACUUUUUUUAGAA
RNAcentral lists this transfer RNA (36 nucleotides) under Pimelia rugulosa rugulosa. RNAcentral describes it as "partial transfer RNA-Leu". Lineage: Eukaryota; Metazoa; Arthropoda; Insecta; Coleoptera; Tenebrionidae. The record is from RNAcentral.